RNAcentral lists this transfer RNA (71 nucleotides) under Occidozyga martensii (round-tongued floating frog). Its description in RNAcentral is "tRNA-Cys". The record is from RNAcentral. Lineage: Eukaryota; Metazoa; Chordata; Amphibia; Anura; Dicroglossidae.
GGCCUUGUGGUGUUAUCAUGUAUGAUUGCAAAUCAUAAGAAGCAGAGAAAAAUCUGCCGGGGCUUCACCCC